This 253-nucleotide ribosomal RNA is filed under the name uncultured bacterium. Its description in RNAcentral is "partial 16S ribosomal RNA". It matches the Rfam family "Bacterial small subunit ribosomal RNA", at positions 524 to 776 of the family's 1533-position model. The record is from RNAcentral.
UACGGAGGGUCCGAGCGUUAUCCGGAAUCAUUGGGUUUAAAGGGUCCGCAGGCGGUCAAUUAAGUCAGAGGUGAAAUCCCAUAGCUUAACUGUGGAACUGCCUUUGAUACUGGUUGACUUGAGUUAUUGUGAAGUGGUUAGAAUAUGUAGUGUAGCGGUGAAAUGCAUAGAUAUUACACAGAAUACCGAUUGCGAAGGCAGUCUACUACGUAUGUACUGACGCUGAGGGACGAAAGCGUGGGGAGCGAACAGG